Molecule: ribosomal RNA, 301 nt
Filed under: uncultured bacterium
Lineage: Bacteria
Description: partial 16S ribosomal RNA
Rfam family: Bacterial small subunit ribosomal RNA
Source: RNAcentral
CAGUCGCCGCGGUAAUACGUAGGGUGCGAGCGUUAAUCGGAAUUACUGGGCGUAAAGCGUGCGCAGGCGGUUCGUUAAGACAGAUGUGAAAUCCCCGGGCUUAACCUGGGAACUGCAUUUGUGACUGACGGGCUAGAGUAUGGCAGAGGGGGGUAGAAUUCCACGUGUAGCAGUGAAAUGCGUAGAGAUGUGGAGGAAUACCGAUGGCGAAGGCAGCCCCCUGGGCCAAUACUGACGCUCAUGCACGAAAGCGUGGGGAGCAAACAGGAUUAGAUACCCCCGUAGUCCCUGUCUCUUAUAC